UACAGAGGGGGCUAGCGUUAUUCGGAAUUAUUGGGCGUAAAGGGCGCGUAGGCGGCCAUGCGUGUCUUCCGUGAAAUCCCUCGGCUUAACUGAGGACGUGCGGAAGAAACUGCAAGGCUCGAGUCCGGGAGAGGGGGGUGGAAUUCCCAGUGUAGCGGUGAAAUGCGUAGAUAUUGGGAGGAACACCGGUGGCGAAGGCGGCUACCUGGACCGGUACUGACGCUGAGGCGCGAAAGCUAGGGUAGCAAACAGG
This 253-nucleotide ribosomal RNA is filed under the name uncultured bacterium. RNAcentral describes it as "partial 16S ribosomal RNA". It matches the Rfam family "Bacterial small subunit ribosomal RNA", at positions 524 to 776 of the family's 1533-position model. The record is from RNAcentral.